RNAcentral lists this unclassified non-coding RNA (721 nucleotides) under Hevea brasiliensis (rubber tree). The record is from RNAcentral. Lineage: Eukaryota; Viridiplantae; Streptophyta; Magnoliopsida; Malpighiales; Euphorbiaceae.
GUGAUGAAACAAGUAGCCAGAACUGAAGAAGCCAUAGAAGCUAUCAGGUCUUUCAGACGCCGUUGCUCCAAACAAGCUCAAGAAUCUCUCGAUAAUGUCCUCAUUGACUUGUACAAGAAAUGUGGCAUGGUAGAGGAGCAAAUAGAUUUGCUAAAGAGGAAGCUAAGAUUGAUUUACCAAGGAGAGGCAUUCAAUGGAAAACCCACAAAAACUGCUCGCUCUCAUGGCAAGAAAUUUCAGGUUUCUGUCAAGCAAGAAAUCUCCAGAUUACUGGGAAACCUGGGCUGGGCCUAUAUGCAGAAAUCAAACUUCAUGGCAGCAGAGGUUGUGUAUCAGAAAGCCCAAAUGAUCGACCCAGACGCAAACAAGGCUUGCAACUUGAGCCUUUGUCUGAUAAAGCAAGCCCGAUUUGACGAGGCUUGUAUGGUUCUCCAAAAUGUCCUGGAAGGUAAACUUCCGGGUUCAGAGGAUUGUAAAUCCAGGAAAAGAGCUGAAGAAUUGCUAAUGGAAGUGGAAUCUAGACAACCCCCACCUGAACUAAAAGAUAUAUUGGGCUUUGAUCUUGAAGAUGAUGAUUUUGUGAAGGGGCUUCAGCAAAUGAAGAUAUCUCUUCAAAGAUGGGCAGCCUUUUUGAUCUUGAUGGAGCCCAUUCAUUCAUCAUUUUUUCAAGUCCUUUUACAAAGUCAUCAUCAUCAAGAUCAAAGCCCAAUAUUUCUGUUAG